This 253-nucleotide ribosomal RNA is filed under the name uncultured bacterium. Its description in RNAcentral is "partial 16S ribosomal RNA". It matches the Rfam family "Bacterial small subunit ribosomal RNA", at positions 524 to 776 of the family's 1533-position model. The record is from RNAcentral.
UACGUAGGGGGCUAGCGUUGUCCGGAAUUAUUGGGCGUAAAGGGCUCGUAGGCGGUUUGUCGCGUCGGGAGUGAAAACCAGGUGCUUAACACCUGGCUUGCUUUCGAUACGGGCAGACUAGAGGUAUUCAGGGGAGAACGGAAUUCCUGGUGUAGCGGUGAAAUGCGUAGAUAUCAGGAGGAACACCGGUGGUGAAAACGAGUCUCUGGUCCGCUUCUGACGCUCAGGUGCGAAAGCUAGGGGAGCAAACGGG